ACUCCUACGGGAGGCAGCAGUGGGGAAUAUUGCACAAUGGGCGCAAGCCUGAUGCAGCCAUGCCGCGUGUAUGAAGAAGGCCUUCGGGUUGUAAAGUACUUUCAGCAGUGAGGAAGGCGGGUACGUUAAUAGCGUGCUCGUUUGACGUUAGCUGCAGAAGAAGCACCGGCUAACUCCGUGCCAGCAGCCGCGGUAGACGGAGGGUGCGAGCGUUAAUCGGAAUUACUGGGCGUAAAGCGCAUGCAGGUGGUUUGUUAAGUCAGAUGUGAAAGCCCGGGGCUCAACCUCGGAAUAGCAUUUGAAACUGGCAGACUAGAGUACUGUAGAGGGGGUAGAAUUUCAGGUGUAGCGGUGAAAUGCGUAGAGAUCUGAAGGAAUACCGGUGGCGAAGGCGGCCCCUGGACAGAUACUGACACUCAGAUGCGAAAGCGUGGGGAGCAAACAGGAUUAGAUACCCUGGUAGACUGUC
This 469-nucleotide ribosomal RNA is filed under the name uncultured bacterium. RNAcentral's name for it is "bacterial SSU rRNA". It matches the Rfam family "Bacterial small subunit ribosomal RNA", at positions 335 to 799 of the family's 1533-position model. The record is from RNAcentral.